UACGUAGGGCGCAAGCGUUGUCCGGAAUCAUUGGGCGUAAAGCGCGUGUAGGCGGUUCGAUAAGUCUGCUGUGAAAGUCCAGGGCUCAACCCUGGAAAGCCGGUGGAUACUGUCGGACUAGAGUGCGGAAGAGGCGAGUGGAAUUCCCGGUGUAGCGGUGAAAUGCGCAGAUAUCGGGAGGAACACCAAUUGCGAAGGCAGCUCGCUGGGACGUUACUGACGCUGAGACGCGAAAGCGUGGGGAGCAAACAGG
RNAcentral lists this ribosomal RNA (253 nucleotides) under uncultured bacterium. RNAcentral's name for it is "partial 16S ribosomal RNA". It matches the Rfam family "Bacterial small subunit ribosomal RNA", at positions 524 to 776 of the family's 1533-position model. The record is from RNAcentral.